Molecule: long non-coding RNA, 1741 nt
Filed under: Mustela putorius furo (domestic ferret)
Lineage: Eukaryota; Metazoa; Chordata; Mammalia; Carnivora; Mustelidae
Description: lncRNA (ENSMPUG00000031451.1)
Source: RNAcentral
CGUGGCCUCCCGGAACACCACCACAUCCUAUGAUGCACCUUCCAAAAUCCCCUCGGUGGUGGGGGAGGGGCUCCCCAUCCACUGUCUGCUGCAGCUUUGCAAAGGGGGAGUUACAGCCCAGAACUGCACACUCUGUCCCCUCAGGAAACCCACCCGCCCUCUCUGAGCCUCAGUUGAUAGAGACCCAUCCUGAUUUCAGAUGGGAAGAAGGGUGUGGACACAAUCAAGAAGCCAGUUGUUGGUCUAGUGCAGGGAAGGAGGAGCACAUUGUGCAGUGGGUUACAGAAAGGAGGGGUGUGGUGUUGCUCCCGGAGCUGGUGAAGUCCGGCACAGCGAGCGAAGAGAAAUAGAGAAGGAUCCUCGUAAAGUACAACAAAAGGAGGGAAGUGGAGGGAAGAAGGAAGAAGAAAGACAAGGGAAGGCCAGGGAGGUAGACGUGGGGGCGGGGGGGUCGGGACUGUCAGGGAGCCUCUGCCAGGGUUAGCCAUGCAGAACAAGCGACCUUCCUCCCGGGUCUCAGCUCCUUCACCUGUGGAAAAGGCAACAUGAGAAGAAUGGUACCUCUGGCCCCGGGGGGUCAGUAAGAUGCCUGGAGACCAUGCCUGGGGAAAUGCUGCGUAUACACGGAAACUCGAACAAGCAUCGGGAACAGUUAUUUUGGGGAAAAACUUCAACGUGUGUGUUUUCCAAGUCUCAGUGGCUUAUCCAAGAAAUGCAGGGAAUGCCACCUUCCACCUACCCUCACUGGAAGGAAUGAAUGAGAAGGUGCUCCUGGGACUGUCUGGCUCUGUGCACAAGAGCUCAAAGGUUCCUGGGUCAGAAGCAUCCCUGGUAUUUCAAGAGGCAGAGGGCAACCGUAGAUGGAUAAGGAGGAGACCAGUCUCGGGGGAGAAAUACCGAGAGAAGGCCCGGGAAACACGAAUCCAGAACUGGAAGGAGACAGGCAGAGGAAGGGUCUCUUGGGGGCCUCCUCACAGCAGCAGGUGUGACGUGUACUCCAAACAUGUGGAUUCCAUGUGCCACGUAACACGUGGUGCUGAGCAGUGGUCAACAGGGAAUUUGUCACAAGAGCAGCACUUGACAAUCACAAACUCAUGCACGCCUGCACGUUUCCAACAGGAUGGUGAGUGUAAGCCAGAAGAACAUUUCCUUGGAACUGAGGGAUUCCAGGCCCCUGCCCCACAGCUGUUAGGGACUUUGUGGCAGGUGGGCCCCCAAUGUCCCUCAUGCCAGCUGCCUUUCCUGAGAGGCUGGAUGCUUCAGGGUCCACGGCGAUGUGGAGGAGCCUGCUUUGUCCUUGAGGGUAUGUGUGCAGAACCUGCUGCUCUUCUCAGACCUGGGGACUAGGCUGCCUCUGCUAACCAUUGGGAACCUGGCUUCCCAACAGCUGAUGGUCUUGGACUCUCCCCUCAGCUUUCCACGUGGCAUCUUCAAUUUUGUGAUGACCCACCCCAUGAAAACUCUCCUACAAGAGGACUUGAGGACACUCCGGCUUGCUGCUCAAGGCUCUGGUACCCUCUUCAGGGCAUUCAGCUGAAGUUUCUAGAAGGCAGCAUCUGGACUACUUGUUGGACUCAGAUUCCUCCUUUGCCACUUUGGUUCUGUCAGGUUUAUGAUCCAGGCAGGGAUUGAAGAAAGCCUUAAAAGACAAGGAACUGAUGCUGUGUGGAACUAAAGCUCUGUCUGCUACCACGCCAGCCAGCCCAAUAAAAUUCAGCUCAGUUCCUGACACUCACUUGCG